AUUGAACGCUGGCGGCAGGCCUAACACAUGCAAGUCGAGCGGAUGAAGGGAGCUUGCUCCUGGAUUCAGCGGCGGACGGGUGAGUAAUGCCUAGGAAUCUGCCUGGUAGUGGGGGAUAACGUCCGGAAACGGGCGCUAAUACCGCAUACGUCCUGAGGGAGAAAGUGGGGGAUCUUCGGACCUCACGCUAUCAGACGAGCCUAGGUCGGAUUAGCUAGUUGGUGGGGUAAAGGCCUACCAAGGCGACGAUCCGUAACUGGUCUGAGAGGAUGAUCAGUCACACUGGAACUGAGACACGGUCCAGACUCCCACGGGAGGCAGUAGUGGGGAAUAUUGGACAAAGGGCGAAAGCCUGAUCCAGCCAUGCCGCGUGUGUGAAGAAGGUCUUCGGAUUGUAAAGCACUUUAAGUUGGGAGGAAGGGCAGUAAGUUAAUACCUUGCUGUUUUGACGUUACCAACAGAAUAAGCACCGGCUAACUUCGUG
Molecule: ribosomal RNA, 484 nt
Filed under: uncultured bacterium
Lineage: Bacteria
Description: partial 16S ribosomal RNA
Rfam family: Bacterial small subunit ribosomal RNA
Source: RNAcentral